Molecule: long non-coding RNA, 161 nt
Organism: Talpa occidentalis (Iberian mole)
Lineage: Eukaryota; Metazoa; Chordata; Mammalia; Eulipotyphla; Talpidae
Exons: 3
Source: RefSeq, a predicted model, not a curated record
AAAGAGUUUCAGAAAUUUUAAAUCUUUGAACUAGUAAAAAUCACAUGCAGGUGGUUUAUCUGCAUUGCCUUCAUAUUGGAUAAAGAAACAAUUCCUGCAAUAUGGAAACUAGCCCUGGCUUAUGAAACCAACUGACACUGGUAAUAAUCCUUCAGGGUGAA